RNAcentral lists this transfer RNA (81 nucleotides) under Scedosporium boydii. RNAcentral's name for it is "tRNA-Ser". It matches the Rfam family "tRNA". From Rfam's summary of the family: Transfer RNA (tRNA) molecules are approximately 80 nucleotides in length. Their secondary structure includes four short double-helical elements and three loops (D, anti-codon, and T loops). RNAcentral also lists the same sequence under 1 other name. Lineage: Eukaryota; Fungi; Ascomycota; Sordariomycetes; Microascales; Microascaceae. The record is from RNAcentral.
GGUAGCAUGCCAGAGUGGUUAAUGGGUAGGACUUGAAAUCCUAUGGGUUCGCCCGCGCAGGUUCGAACCCUGCUGCUAUCG